UAAUUUUUUCCCUAGUGUUCUUGAACUUCAACAGGUCCUACUGCAACAAUUAGCUGGUAUGCUUCUCUUGCUGCUUUUUAAUAAUGUGCUAGCAUUCCAGGAGUUUCACUCAACAGACAGACUCUUAGGAAAAAAAGUCCACCACAUUUUCACAAAAGGUUUCUGCCUUUCUUCUGAAGCUGUGAAGACCUCUUCUGUGCUGCUUUAUGAAAAAGGAAGCACCAGGAACCACAGAAGACACCCCCAGUUUGAAUGGAUAUACUGGUGUGAAGGAAGCACCAUCAUACCCAGAUUCCACUAAAGGCCACCAUGGUCGUCGUCAGCAUUAUGUUAUGGUUUCAAGUAACAUGGAAUGGAAGAAACACUUGAUAUAAUGCAUUUAUUCCUAUAACAACCUACUCUGACAAGACUUCAUUAUACUUCAGGCUAUCAACUGGAGCAUCUGUUCACAUAUCCCUUAAACUGUGAAGUGGGCAAUGUAUCAGCACAAAGUGCGUGCUAAAACAUCAGAGCGAUACUAGGAUCAUCCUUUCUCAAGUGAAAAUGAAUACUUUUAGCCAAACUUUUGCAUAUGUCCUUUCCAAAAAACAAAACAAAAAAAAGGGAGUAUAGGGAGUAUAUACCCCACACAUUACCAGAAUAUAUUGGCUGCUACCUGCAAAAAAGGAGCAUAUAAGUAAAAACAUUAGAAGAGACUACACAGAAUAUGGUUUCCCCAUGGAAAUAUUUCUGCAGGACAAGCAGCCUAUGGGCAAAGUCGGUUGAAGCUAUUCCAGCACCAGGUAAAAAAUUUCAAGCUGAAGGCAUCCAUAAAGCCACUCAUUCUUACUUUUUUUGCACACAUGUUACAGCUACUUCAAGCAGAUCUCAAAAUCUGGAAGACUAUGGGCUUUGAUUGAAACAAAUGCUAUUUCCUUACUAGCUGUGCUAAUUCAGCAAAAUGGUAAAGCUGGGCUGAAUCAUCAUGCAACUCUGUGAGAAGGUUUAAAAUACUAGCUGCAAAAUGAAAACACAUUUUAUAUUUAUUCAUAAAGACAAGAGACUAAAAAUCUGAAUCUUUCGUAUGUAUGCUGAACUUUACAAUAGAUUACAGAGCAAUAAUAAUAAUAUUAAAAAUUUUAAAAUAAACCCCAAACCUACUAUGAGGUACAGUCACAACCAUUUGGAAUAGAAUUGGUUAUCCUUUAUGUCACAUUAUUAUAAUGUGCAGAAAACACACGUUUCCUGAUAGAGUCAUCAGUUAUGUUUAUGUUCCAGUACAAGACACAUGCACAGCAUGGUUCAUUAAAAAGUAGCUUGUAAGAGAAAUAGGCACACCGUUUGCAUCAGAAUUCUAGCGGCAGAGGACCCUAAAAAUAUCUACAAUUGCACUUCCAGGUUCAUGUUCAGUUUUCAAUCUCCUAUAAACCAAAACACCUGAAUAAUAACAUGAAGUUGGCCACUAUUCUGAAACCCAUUGACCACCUUUUCUCACAAGAGAGCAAAUGUGGUUGAAGCUACACAACGACAUUCAAGUGUUGUCCCAAAACAGAUGACUACAUGCAACCAGCAAGCUCCAGAGAAGUUCUGCAGCUUUCAAAGCAUGCAAAAAACUGAUAAACACCCUCAGCCUUCCAAAUGUCAGAGACCAUCCAGGCAUAACUCCUGAGAAAAGAUAUCCUUGUUGAAGAUACUGCUCCAGAAAACAAUUCAGAGGAAUUGAACUGUCUUCUACCUGAAAUUGAUCCACAGAAUUCCUUCUUCACUAACAGCACAAAGAGAUAAGCCUUCCUUGACUUUUCUUCCUGGAAACUAUAUUUUGUCUGCAUAGGCUCUGCUUCAGUAAGGAAAUAUGCCUAGAAAAAUCAAGAUAAGCAUCUUCCAUUGCUGCAAAUUGUUGGUCCAAAAGUUGUGACUGACCAGAAGGCAGUACAGUUACACGCCAGCAUUUCAAGGGUUGUGCUUGCAUGCACAGCUGUUGAGCAGGAUGGAAACAAUGAGGCUGUAUACAUGUGGUCACAAUUGAUCCCAAACUCCUUUGUCUGCUAUUUCCUGUCUGCUAUAUGUCUCACUGAAUACUCAAAAUCAAGAAUCAAAACAGUUCAACAGAGGAGGAAGAGAGAAAUAGUACCCAUAAUUUUUAAAGGAGGACUCAUUACUUCAGUAAGCCUAAGGACAAGAAGCUUAAGGACAUCCAUGGAUUAUAUUUCUUGCAACACAGAGUGGGAUUGAGUGCAAGUUUGCUGAUGACAACGAGGGUGUGGUCUGGUUGAAAUACUGGAGGGAAGGGAUGCUGUCCAGGUGGAACUUGACUGGCAGAAGUUGGCCCAUGUGAACUUCAUGAAGUUGAACAAGGCAAAGUGCAAGGUGCUGCAUCUUGGUCAGAGAAAUUCCAAGCUCAAAUAUGGUCUGGGUAGAAAAUGGAUUGUGAGAAGCCCAGAGAAGAUGGACUUGUUGGUUGAUGAGAGGCUCAAUAUGAGCUGGCAGUGAGUUUUCAGCCCAGAAAGCCAACCAUGUCCUGGGCUGCAUCAAAAGUAGCAUGGCGAGCAGGAUGAGGGAGGUGUUCUUCUCCCUCUUCUCUUCUCUCCUGAGACUGCACCUGGAGUGCUGCAUCUGGCUCUAGGUUGCCCAGCGUAAGAAGGGUGUGAACCUGCUGAAGCACAAUCAGAGGAGGACCAUGAAUGGUGAUCAGAGGGCUGGAACUCUUCAUCUGUGAGGAGAGGCUGAAGGAGUUGGGGUCGUUCAGCCUGGAGAAGAGCAGAUUCCAAGGAGACCUUAUAGCACCCUUCCACUACCUUAAGGGGACCUAGAAUGCUGGAGGGACUUGUAAAAAGGACAUAUAGUGAUAAGACAAAGGGCAAUGUUUUUAAACUAAAAGAGUGUAGGUUUAGACAGAAAUUAGGAAGAAAUACUUUUCUGUGAGGGUACUGGAAUAAAUUUCCUAGAAAAGCUGUGAAUGCCCCAUUCUUGAAAGUGUUCAAGGCCAGGUUGGAUGGGGAUUGAGACACCUGGUCUAGUGGAAACUCUCCCUGCCCAUGGCAGAGGUGUUGGAAGGAUGUGAUCUUUAAGGUCCCUUCCAAGCCAAAGAGUUCUAUGAUUCUGUGACCAAAGACAUUGCAUGUCCAAAUUCUAAUGGCUGCAAAAAGCCUGAAAAACUAAAUCCAUCUCUGAAAUUCCACUUGUAUUGUGUGUAGGUGGCAAGACUUUGAGCAACAUGAGGGCUACAGGGAUGGCUGCUUUGGCGGGAGAUCAGAAUGAGUCUUGUCCCAGACAGCUGGUUUCAGCCUUCUCCACAAUGGAUCCACAACAGGACAAAGUGGAGGUUGAUGACCAUUUGUGCAUUUCCUCUGGAAGAGUGUAUUUAAAGAGAUAGGAGAAAGGAGAAAGUGUGAGAAACAAUCCUUCAAGCAACAACAUCUGACAAGGAGAGUGAGGAUGUGCUCUAGGUGACAUACCAGACAUUCCUUUGUAACCAUUGCUGAGCAAAUUAUUUCCCUACAGCCCAUGUACUUGACCUCAUUGGAAUAAAUAUCCAUCUUGCAGCCCUUGAAAGACUGACCUCUGGAAUGUUUUGGUUUAUUUCCUUUUAAGAUUAAGAUAUAAAAGAAUGUAUAUUUUGUGAAUAUAUUUUCAGAUUCCCAGACCUACUAUUUAUUAGUCGUAAUGCAUCACAAUGGUCAAAGUUGCUUUCUAAUGCAAUAUUCAUGACGGUUUUGAGUUAAAUUAUUGUAUUUCCUGGAGUUCUGAAUGCCACAGAUAUAUAGCACAAGUUUAGGAAGAUUUACUUGCUAUCAAAUAUCAUACUCUAAUUCAAAAAUUUAUAUAUUAGGAGAUUAGAGGAUUGAACUCAAAUCAAAAGGAAGAGAUAGCACUACUGUUAUAUGUCUUUUAUGAAAAAUUACCUUUAGAUUUUUCACACUCAUUUGUCUAGUUAAAUAACAAAUAAUUUCUGUACAGGGAUGUACAAACGUGAACAGGUAUAGAUACAUAAGAUAAAUGCUUAAGUACUUUCGUGUAUUACAAGCAUACACUUGGGUCUAGCCCUUGAGACAGCAUGCUGAACAUCUGGAUUUCAGAUUACAGCAAACACUUUUGAUUAUUUGCAUGUACAAAGCUAUAUUUGGCAGUACAUUUUAACUUCUUGUAGUUAAGUGAGGCUCAGGUGAGAGAUUACUCUGAAUGCUAAGAUACCAUUGAAGAAUGUUAGUUCUCUGGCAAUAAAGAGAUUGACUCUUGAUUUGCAGUGCCGUGUCACUCUUGUCACUUCUUAGCGAAUGGAGCAUACUGGGAAGCUCAAGACUGUUCCUGAGUCAGACUGGUUCAGCCAGCUUGACCCACCUCUAUACAUUCCUGUCAUUAAAAAACACUCUAAUUCUAUCUGGUUCAAACCAGCAGAACCUAUUCAAACUCAGAAGAUUGCUUUAUUGGUAUACAGGUGUCUUCUCUCCCUUUAAGUCUGCCGAAUGUUUUCACCCAAGAAACUUUACCAAUAGCUACCCAUUUGAUCUUAUCAAAAACUGAUGCACUUUUUGAAGAAAAAGAAUUUUAGAAUCUUUGCCAACCUUCUACUGCUAUUUCACCACUACAUUGGAAGUAUUGGAAGGCAACAAAACUGUGUAGAAAAUGUUAACUCUUUAGCAAUUGGGUAACACUUAUCAAUUUAAAUCCAUGCCACCAGGAAAAAAAAACCAAAAACAAAAACAACAAAAAAAACCCCACCACACUUGCUAAGAACUCAAUAUAUCAAACAAGAAUGUGCUUUAAAGGGUAUGAUUGCAUAUCACUUUAUCACAAAUGGAAAAAAAAAAGGAACUGGAUUUCCAUUUUUCAAAGUUUUGGUUGUCAAUAGCACAACACUAUUUCCGCAGAAAGAAAAAUAUGGACACCUGUUUUUAUUGUCACAUGAAUAAAUCCUGCCAAAGAUUGA
Agelaius phoeniceus (red-winged blackbird) is the source of this 4906-nucleotide non-coding RNA. The record is from RefSeq and is a predicted model, not a curated record. Lineage: Eukaryota; Metazoa; Chordata; Aves; Passeriformes; Icteridae.